RNAcentral lists this ribosomal RNA (502 nucleotides) under uncultured bacterium. Its description in RNAcentral is "bacterial SSU rRNA". It matches the Rfam family "Bacterial small subunit ribosomal RNA", at positions 28 to 515 of the family's 1533-position model. The record is from RNAcentral.
GACUAACGCUGGCGGCGUGCCUAACACAUGCAAGUCGAACGAGAAUCUGGAGGUUCAAGUUUUCGGACAAGAACUUUCGGAGGAAAGUGGCGGAAGGGUGAGUACAACAUGGGAUAAUCUACCUUCAAGUUGGGUAUAGCUUCCCGAAAGGGGAGAUAAUCCCGAAUGUGGUGAUCCGGCGCCUGUCGGAGAAUCCAAAGGUGGGGACCGCAAGGCCUGCCGCUUGAAGAUGAGUCCGUGCACUAUCAGCUAGUUGGUGAGGUAAUGGCUCACCAAGGCGAUGACGGUUAGCUGGUCUGAGAGGAUGGUCAGCCACACUGGGACUGAGAUACUGCCCAGACUCCUACGGGAGGCUGCAGUAGGGAAUAUUAGAAAUGGACGAAAGUCUGAUCUAGCAACACCGCGUGUGCGAAGAAGGCCUUCGGGUCGUAAGCACUUUUUGGAAGGAAUAGGAAGGAAUGAACUUUCCAGAAUAAGUCUCGGCUAACUACGUGCCAGCACG